Molecule: ribosomal RNA, 216 nt
Filed under: uncultured bacterium
Lineage: Bacteria
Description: partial 16S ribosomal RNA
Rfam family: Bacterial small subunit ribosomal RNA
Source: RNAcentral
UGGGAACCUUCCCUAUGGUUCGGAAUAGCCCAGGGAAACUUGGGGUAAUACCGAAUAAGCCCUUCGGGGGAAAGAUUUAUCGCCAUUGGAUGGGCCCGCGUCGGAUUAGCUAGUUGGUGAGGUAACGGCUCACCAAGGCAACGAUCCGUAGCUGGUCUGAGAGGAUGAUCAGCCACACUGGGACUGAGACACGGCCCAGACUCCUACGGGAGGCAG